This 723-nucleotide ribosomal RNA is filed under the name uncultured Enterobacterales bacterium. RNAcentral's name for it is "bacterial SSU rRNA". It matches the Rfam family "Bacterial small subunit ribosomal RNA", at positions 62 to 776 of the family's 1533-position model. Lineage: Bacteria; Pseudomonadati; Pseudomonadota; Gammaproteobacteria; Enterobacterales. The record is from RNAcentral.
UCGAACGGUAGCACAGAGAGCUUGCUCUCGGGUGACGAGUGGCGGACGGGUGAGUAAUGUCUGGGAGACUGCCUGAUGGAGGGGGAUAACUACUGGAAACGGUAGCUAAUACCGCAUAACGUCGCAAGACCAAAGAGGGGGACCUUCGGGCCUCUUGCCAUCAGAUGUGCCCAGAUGGGAUUAGCUAGUAGGUGGGGUAACGGCUCACCUAUGCGACGAUCCCUAGCUGGUCUGAGAGGAUGACCAGCCACACUGGAACUGAGACACGGUCCAGACUCCUACGGGAGGCAGCAGUGGGGAAUAUUGCACAAUGGGCGCAAGCCUGAUGCAGCCAUGCCGCGUGUAUGAAGAAGGCCUUCGGGUUGUAAAGUACUUUCAGCGGGGAGGAAGGUGUUGUGGUUAAUAACCGCAGCAAUUGACGUUACCCGCAGAAGAAGCACCGGCUAACUCCGUGCCAGCAGCCGCGGUAAUACGGAGGGUGCAAGCGUUAAUCGGAAUUACUGGGCGUAAAGCGCACGCAGGCGGUCUGUCAAGUCGGAUGUGAAAUCCCCGGGCUCAACCUGGGAACUGCAUUCGAAACUGGCAGGCUAGAGUCUUGUAGAGGGGGGUAGAAUUCCAGGUGUAGCGGUGAAAUGCGUAGAGAUCUGGAGGAAUACCGGUGGCGAAGGCGGCCCCCUGGACAAAGACUGACGCUCAGGUGCGAAAGCGUGGGGAGCAAACAGG